UCAGGUGGAACGUGACACUUUUUCGUGCGUGCAGCCGGUGUUCAUCGAUUAUAAGACGUUAUCACGUUACAAAAUUAAGUUGGAUUUUUUGUAUUA
Molecule: long non-coding RNA, 96 nt
Organism: Melitaea cinxia (Glanville fritillary)
Lineage: Eukaryota; Metazoa; Arthropoda; Insecta; Lepidoptera; Nymphalidae
Exons: 3
Source: RefSeq, a predicted model, not a curated record